GAUUAUAUCUUUUUGUAUAAGUUUAUCAUGUGGUUUUAUUUUCCCUCCCCACAUAUCAAACAAACGCCCCUUUCCCCAAAACUUUUUUGAUUUCCCUCUCAUUCUUAUUGUCGGUUCCUUCCAUGCGACGGCGUCGAUAUGUGUAAUGGUCAUUUUUACUUGCCUACUCCGGCCAAUUUCUUUCUUCAAUCGUAUCUCAUUCGCUUUACAUUCUCCCUCCGGCCUAUGGGUGAAUCAGUUACUUUCUUGACUUUCAAAAUUAUAAACUUUAGAGAUGGCAAGAAGCAUGAUACUGUGUUGGGACUGCUAAUGAUAGGCCAAAGGAAAAUAAACCAACAAUGGUUCAUCUCGAUUUAAGCAACAAUCUUAUGUGUGUUAAACGAUUCGAAGGUCUUGAUUCAGCCAUUCAGGAACAAACAGAGAACUACAAGCCUAUAGAGGAUGGGAGCACUACUAUGAAUACUUUUCUGGUUGUAAUAAACCAAGAGAACUAUGAAUAUUGGCGAUUUUUUUUUGUACAGGCGUUAAAAAUGCAUUGAUAAAAAAAAGUAGAUUGUUUAUGCACAUCAUACAUGACAUGAUUCGGAGGGUCUUGUGAUAUCAUUCAAAGCAAACAUAUAUGUUUAGAGAAACUAGUUGGAAAUGCGGAAAUGAGCUACUGGGGACAACCUGGAAUUUAUGAAGCAGGAGGUUAUGAAAGAACUAUUCAUUGAAGAUAGAGACGAAUAGGGUGUUUUUAAUCCUCUUGGUAUAGAUUGACAAUUUGUGGCGACUAUAUUUUUAUUUGAGUUUAGACAAGUAUGUUAAACUAUACUAU
This is a long non-coding RNA of Helianthus annuus (common sunflower), 817 nucleotides long. RefSeq lists it as uncharacterized. Lineage: Eukaryota; Viridiplantae; Streptophyta; Magnoliopsida; Asterales; Asteraceae. The transcript is spliced from 4 exons. The record is from RefSeq and is a predicted model, not a curated record.